GAUGAACGCUGGCGGCGUGCCUAAUACAUGCAAGUCGAGCGAACGGACGAGAAGCUUGCUUCUCUGAUGUUAGCGGCGGACGGGUGAGUAACACGUGUAUAACCUACCUAUAAGACUGGGAUAACUUCGGGAAACCGGAGCUAAUACCGGAUAAUAUUUUGAACCGCAUGGUUCAAAAGUGAAAGACGGUCUUGCUGUCACUUAUAGAUGGAUCCGCGCUGCAUUAGCUAGUUGGUAAGGUAACGGCUUACCAAGGCAACGAUGCAUAGCCGACCUGAGAGGGUGAUCGGCCACACUGGAACUGAGACACGGUCCAGACUCCUACGGGAGGCAGCAGUAGGGAAUCUUCCGCAAUGGGCGAAAGCCUGACGGAGCAACGCCGCGUGAGUGAUGAAGGUCUUCGGAUCGUAAAACUCUGUUAUUAGGGAAGAACAUAUGUGUAAGUAACUGUGCACAUCUUGACGGUACCUAAUCAGAAAGCCACGGCUAACUACGUG
RNAcentral lists this ribosomal RNA (497 nucleotides) under uncultured bacterium. RNAcentral describes it as "partial 16S ribosomal RNA". It matches the Rfam family "Bacterial small subunit ribosomal RNA", at positions 28 to 507 of the family's 1533-position model. The record is from RNAcentral.